GCUGGGUGAGGUGGCACGCACCUGUAGUCCCAGCUACUUGGGAGGCUGAGGCAGGAGGAUUGCUUGAGCCCAGGAGUUGGAGGCUGCAGUGAGCCAUGAUGGUGCCACUGCACUCUAGCUUGGGUAACAGAGCAAGAUCUUGUCUCAA
This is an unclassified non-coding RNA of Papio anubis (olive baboon), 148 nucleotides long. It matches the Rfam family "Metazoan signal recognition particle RNA". Rfam says of the family: The signal recognition particle (SRP) is a universally conserved ribonucleoprotein. It is involved in the co-translational targeting of proteins to membranes. Lineage: Eukaryota; Metazoa; Chordata; Mammalia; Primates; Cercopithecidae. The record is from Ensembl.